Molecule: non-coding RNA, 87 nt
Organism: Pelobates cultripes (western spadefoot toad)
Lineage: Eukaryota; Metazoa; Chordata; Amphibia; Anura; Pelobatidae
Source: the annotation of a GenBank genome assembly
AGAGAGUGUGUGUGUCUGUUAGUGAAUGUGUGUGUCUGUUGGUAAUAGACACACACACAUUCACUAACAGACACACACACACUCUCU